This 510-nucleotide long non-coding RNA is filed under the name Triticum aestivum (bread wheat). RNAcentral describes it as "long non-coding RNA (TAES_LNC005040)". The record is from RNAcentral. Lineage: Eukaryota; Viridiplantae; Streptophyta; Magnoliopsida; Poales; Poaceae.
CCUCUCCUUUCUAUUCUUCUGCCGCCACCACCCCAUCUUUCUUCCUCGCCUCUUUCCACACCCCUCAUCUGCCAUUCAUUCUCCGCAUCCGGGUCUCCUCGUGUAAUGUCAUGGCAUAAAUCGCAGAGACAUUCCUCUGUUCUUCCUGCCCUUCGAGCCCGCACCAGAAGCAGGGGUCCUCAUCGAUCGAUCUUGUAAGCAUCUGCCUUGCAGAAUCAGAAUCUUGUUACAUAUAUAUUCAUGUUCUUUCCUGGAAUUUUCGUGGUGACUGGAUAAUAUAUGCAGUGAGGAUGAAAUUAGUCCCGGUUCUGUCGGCGUUAGCCGUGGUGUUGUUGGGGUUCGUCGUCAGCUUCUCUUUCCCGGCAUCGAUGACGCCCAAUGUAUGAUAAGAAACAUCAAAAGGUUUUCAUAUUGGUAUAUUUUCUUCAAAUUAACUUGGCAUCAUGAUUAUUAGAUUGGUCAUGUAUGUAUGCAGCUUCAGUGUGGCGUACAGCCUUGGAGUAGCAGCGG